UUCAGAGGUUGUCUCUGUCGUUACCCACAAGUUGGAUACGGGAAUGCAACUGUUGA
The submitters of this non-coding RNA (56 nucleotides) gave its source as unclassified sequences. The record is from Rfam.